AGAGCGAACGCUGGCGGCAGGCCUAACACAUGCAAGUCGAGCGGCCGUAGCAAUACGGCAGCGGCAGACGGGAGAGUAACACGUGGGAACGCGCCCUUCGGUUCGGAAUAACUCAGGGAAACUUGGGCUAAUACCGGAUACGCCCUUACGGGGAAAGAUUUAUUGCCGAAGGAACGGCCCGCGUCCGAUUAGCUUGUUGGUGAGGUAACGGCUCACCAAGGCGACGAUCGGUAGCUGGUCUGAGAGGAUGACCAGCCUCACUGGGACUGAGACACGGCCCAGACUCCUACGGGAGGCAGCAGUGGGGAAUAUUGGACAAUGGGCGCAAGCCUGAUCCAGCCAUGCCGCGUGGUGAUGAAGGCCCUAGGGUUGUAAAGCCCUUUCGGCGGGGAAGAUAAUGACGGUACCCGCAGGAAGAACGCCCGGCUAACUUCGUGCCAGCAGCCGC
RNAcentral lists this ribosomal RNA (448 nucleotides) under uncultured bacterium. Its description in RNAcentral is "SSU rRNA". It matches the Rfam family "Bacterial small subunit ribosomal RNA", at positions 26 to 518 of the family's 1533-position model. The record is from RNAcentral.